Molecule: ribosomal RNA, 373 nt
Filed under: uncultured eukaryote
Lineage: Eukaryota
Description: partial 18S ribosomal RNA
Rfam family: Eukaryotic small subunit ribosomal RNA
Source: RNAcentral
CAAUAGCGUAUAUUAAAGUUGUUGCAGUUAAAAAGCUCGUAGUUGAAUGUUGGUGUCAAACGAGCGGUCAGCUUCGGCUGUACUGCUCUCUCGACUCCUUCCUUCUGUGGACUACGUCGCACUUUACUGUGUGGCGCUAGGACGCAGAUCGUUUACUGUGAAAAAAUUAGAGUGUUCAAAGCAGGCCGUACGCUUGAAUACAUUAGCAUGGAAUAAUGGAAUAGGACGUCGGGCCUAUUUUGUUGGUUCUAGGACCGUCGUAAUGAUUAAUAGGGACAGUUGGGGCCGUUUAUAUUCCGUAGUCAGAGGUGAAAUUCUUGGAUUUACGGAAGAUAAACUACUGCGAAAGCAUUCGGCAAGGAUGUUUUCGUUA